Molecule: ribosomal RNA, 253 nt
Filed under: uncultured prokaryote
Description: partial 16S ribosomal RNA
Rfam family: Bacterial small subunit ribosomal RNA
Source: RNAcentral
ACGUAGGGGGCAAGCGUUGUCCGGAUUUAUUGGGCGUAAAGAGCGUGUAGGCGGCUUGGUAGGUCCGCUGUGAAAACUCGAGGCUCAACCUCGAGAUGUCGGCGGAAACCACUUGGCUAGAGUCCGGAAGAGGAGAGUGGAAUUCCCGGUGUAGCGGUGAAAUGCGCAGAUAUCGGGAAGAACACCUAUGGCGAAGGCAGCUCUCUGGGACGGUACUGACGCUGAGACGCGAAAGCGUGGGGAGCGAACAGGA